This 467-nucleotide long non-coding RNA is filed under the name Equus caballus (horse). Its description in RNAcentral is "lncRNA (ENSECAG00000048426.1)". Lineage: Eukaryota; Metazoa; Chordata; Mammalia; Perissodactyla; Equidae. The record is from RNAcentral.
GCUUGGAAAGAUCAGCAGGGGUCAGACUCUGUGGAGCCACAGUAAGGAAUUCAUCCUGAGCAUGACGGGAAAACUAUUGAGGGCUUCCAUUGGGAAUGUGACAGCAUAGAGCUAUGUUAAAUGCAUGGCUGCUGGAGCCAGCCUGCCCGGGUGCAGAUCUCAACUCCACCAUUUCCUAGCUAUGUGAUAUGGUUCUUUUCCUAGAACCAAAAUCAGGAUGUGGCAGAGUCUGUCUAGAUCUUUUUAAAAAAUCCAACUUUCUCUCCCUGAGAACUGAGGAAGGCUGUAUUUCCCAGCUUCUGAUGAAGUUAAAUUGGGUUUAUGAGACUAGAGCUGGCCAAUGGAAGAGCCACACCAUGGGAGAAUCUGGGUCCGGAUCCCUGAGUCAUCACUGAAGAGCUGCCCAGAAGAGUAACCUAAUUGACAUCAGACUGCGAGGUGACUUGGAAAUAAACAUUUUAUUGUGU